UUAUCUCGGUCUUGUCGUGCG
Molecule: non-coding RNA, 21 nt
Filed under: Arabidopsis thaliana (thale cress)
Lineage: Eukaryota; Viridiplantae; Streptophyta; Magnoliopsida; Brassicales; Brassicaceae
Source: RNAcentral